GGAUUUCACUUGGCUUUGCAAUACUAGAAGCUAUUAUAUUUUCUUGCUAUUCUCUUCCUUAUUCAAUUUAUGUAGCCAGUUACAGGGUUAAGCAUGUGAUGGUGACUGCUUUACUUUUGGUUUAUGGUGCAAUGACUAUGACAUGGAUCUGUGAUACUAUAUCAGAAUCCGGAUUUGGUCAAGGUUCGUCUCUAAUUAUAUGUGUUGGAAUAUUAACUGGAUACACAGAUACGCUG
Molecule: long non-coding RNA, 236 nt
Organism: Hibiscus syriacus
Lineage: Eukaryota; Viridiplantae; Streptophyta; Magnoliopsida; Malvales; Malvaceae
Exons: 3
Source: RefSeq, a predicted model, not a curated record